GCUAAGAAACUGCCGGGGUUCUCAGCUGGCCCGAGCACCGGGUACCCUGUGCCUUGGCCGGUGCGGAGAGGGAGCCCCUGGACACCCUCCCCGCCCGGCGGAGGGGACCCAGGCCCCUUGGGGCCGUGCAGGGUGGCAGCCCCCGCUUGUGCCGAGCUGCCGGCCGGGCGCCGAUAACGGGAGGAGCCGGCACCGCCCGGAUCCCACCUGGGAGGGCCGGGACGGCCGUCCUGCCGUGUCCCCGGGACCCGGUCCGGCGGCAGGGGAGCCAGGGCAGUCCCAGCAUCCACGGGGGAGACAUUAGCUCCUUCCCGGUGACCAAGGCUUUCUCGCACACAUCGGAAGCAGGGCUGAAGCCGUGUGACCGCUUUUUAUGGAAAAGGAAAGACAUUUGCAGGCACUUUGGAGCAUCCUGGCCGCCUGUGCGGGGCUGGAGGCACGGCGAGCGGCAUCCCGGUACCGGCUGGGGCCGUCCGCUCCCCGCUCCGCCCGCUGCAUCCCUCCCAGCCCCCAGCGCACACCCGCUUUUCUCUCUCUCUUUUUUUUUUUUUUUUUUCCCCUAAAGAUCAAAAGCUCCUUGCUGUUGCAGAAGGACUAUUUUCUCAGGCGUCCUUCCCCACCACGGCUUUGUGAAAAGGACAAUAGACUCCUGUGUCAGUGUUGUUGGCACUAGCCUUGCAUAAUA
This is a long non-coding RNA of Columba livia (rock pigeon), 685 nucleotides long. RefSeq lists it as uncharacterized. NCBI's taxonomy places the organism in Eukaryota, Metazoa, Chordata, Aves, Columbiformes, Columbidae. The transcript has 2 exons. The record is from RefSeq and is a predicted model, not a curated record.